Molecule: long non-coding RNA, 2455 nt
Organism: Myotis myotis
Lineage: Eukaryota; Metazoa; Chordata; Mammalia; Chiroptera; Vespertilionidae
Exons: 3
Source: RefSeq, a predicted model, not a curated record
UCCUAAAUCGCAGGUCUGGGUUUGACACAGGAAAGAGAAGUUAGCACAGACACACCCUGCCCCAGCUCUCCAAGGGAAAGGCCAAAUUGGCCUUCAAGAGAGCUCAGCUUCUCAUGCCUUCCUUGCCUCCUCCUUUUAAGUUUCUUCAGCGCUGCCCCUUGAACUCCCAUCAUUGGAUAAGUCUCAGUAAAUGCUAUCCCCCAAAAGAUGAGUUGAUCGGUUUGUUUGUUUCCUCCCCGGCAUUCAUUCCCCUCUGGCAUCAGCCACAGGUUUUCUUAGGGAAGCCACUCUCCCCCAGUCCCAGUCCCUGUGGUCUGUACGGUUGUUCCACCUGCGUCUACAGAUGAGGCCGGUGACUCAGCUCUGGCCAGUUGACAGAAGAAGCUGAGAAAGCUGCCUUGCAAUUAUUAGGAAGCGCCUCCUUGAGAAAGGAGCUGACAUGGAAAACAACUGAACAGAAAGAAACCAGGUUCUUGUGACAUAUUGUGAGCCCCGGCUGUUAAAGCAAGAAUUACUCUUGGGUUUUUGCUAAAGCCACUUUGGGUAGGUUCUUGCAAUUGAACGAGUAACUGAUUCAUGAGCAGCUCUGACCCUCUACCUUGGGGUUUGUCCUCUAGGUAAAUUAGGUCUUCUUUGGCGCCAAUUGGGUUACUCACCAUGAGCAGCUUCAUGUUCCCUGCUGUGCAAAGGGGCCGGCUCCUGAAAGAGAAGAAAAGAGGCAGCCUUAUCACUGGAAAAGAGCCCAGGUCCUGUUGCAUUGUUGGGAAGGUCACCAGGGAAGCCAGCAUAGGCUCUGGAAUCAGGGUGCCAGGCAUCUCAUACGCCCUCCUGGAAGGAUGGAUGCAAACUGCAUGAGGACAACACCUUUGCUGUGUUCACCACAAUAGUCCAGCACCUAGAGCAAGGCCAGGCCUGGAAAGUGUUGAAUGAGUGAGUACGGUUUUUUAAAUACAAAAUACAGAAAUGUGUAAACACAGAAGGUGAAGUGCCCUCAUGUGAUUCUAGUUCCCUGAUGUCCUUUGCACAGGGAGGCAAGUAGGGGUCACAGGGAUCCCAAGGCGGCCUCCAGCCUCACCUCCACGUCUGUCCUUUCCAGUGUGAGCGAGCUGGGGUUUGCUCUCCUCUCUGUGUCCUGCAGCUUAGUCAACUUUUCUAUCAGGAACAUUUUAUCUUUGCCCUCCUGCCAAGAAGAAAAAGGAAAAGGAGAACAUGGAGGAUGAAUGGUGAUGUGGAGUUGAGAAGCAAAUGAAGGGAAGGCUUAUUUGUAGGCAGGUAGGGUCCAUUGGAUGGAUAUUGCCGCCAUGUUUUUUCUUGAUGAAAUAAAACAUGUCAUAGUAAAGCCAAGUGAUCCCCCAAAGCCUUCCUGAAUUAGGAUAUUCUCCUCUAAAGCAAUUCCCCUAGCAGGCUUGAGUAGCAGCCUUCUCCAGCCUGGAUGCUAGAAGCAGCUUACAUGCCACUGUCAAAGGUCUAGGACAAAUGGUUUAUUGUCUCUCCCUUCUUGGCAUUCCCUCUGCCCCAGAACCCUGCGUGGGCACCCAGCAUUGCCUGGGUCUGCCCUGUCCUCCCACUGAGAAUGUCAAAGCUUAUAGCUCUGCAUCUAAGGACAUCAAAUCUAUUUCAUUUGUCAAAGUUAUCUAUGUCAAUGGAAUAGACCGAGUUAAAUAAUCCCCUAGUUGGGAAGGGGAAGGAAGGAAGAGGGUAUGCCUUCCCCAGGGGGGUGAGUUGCUUUCCUGUGAACCUGUUGCAGAUAAGAGAGUGGUAUGUUCCACCUGAGUUGAGGUGGGCUAGCGAGCACCAUUGAUGGUCUGUCUAGUCCAGGUGAAUCCAGGUCCCAUGCCCUCGUUUUUCCUUCAAUUUUCACUCGUUAAUUUUAGUUUCCACUAGUGGAUCUCGCUUGUAACAAUUAUUACUGUGCUGUUUGUUUUAUGAUGAUUUUCUGUUCCCCUCAUUCCUUCUACAUUUAUUAAUUGGAAAUCUUCUCUACGGAAGCACUGAAUUUGGGAAUGCAAGGUAAUCAAGUCAUUGGUGAGCAAAAGUCUUCUUUUAUAGAGUUCCAGCUAAUAUAUGCAGAAGAAUUCUAGAAUCAGAGUAUCACUAUUUUGUAAUCCAUAAUGAAAUAAAUGGAUCUUCUCUAGGCAGUACUCAUCAAAGGCUGCCAAGGCCAUUAGAGAUAAGGCUGAUGAGCUUUAUAAUGGAUGAGUCAGGCUAACAAAGCACUGAUUGCUCUUAACAUCACACACAAAAAAGACAAUCACAUUUUAUACCUCAAAUGCCAUAAGAUGCUCAUAGCAUCAUCUAUGAAGUAUUCUGGCUAAAAAGUUGAGCUAGACUCUAAUCAGAUCUCUACAUCUCACCACUAGUUUACAGGAAAUAAAAAGUAAAAAGAACCUGACUGGCAUGACUCAGUGGUUGAGCAUGAACCUAUGAGCCAGGAGGUCACGGUUCGAUUCCUGGU